CAAAAACAUAGCCGCGCGAUUAUAUUCGUGGUAAUUUCUGCUCAAUGAGAGGUUAAAUAGCCGCAGUACCCUGACUGUGCAAAGGUAGCGUAAUCAUUUGUCUUUUAAUUGAAGUCUCGUAUGAAGGAAUACAUGGGGACCUUCUUUACCAUUUGCGAUACGCGAAAUUACUAGGUGGGUGAAAACGCUCACAGAAAAAUAAUAGACGAGGAGACCCUAGAAAUUUGUAAAGUCGUUUUGUUGGGGCAACAUGGUAACAAAUAACUUACCUUAUGUAUAUGAAAUGUAGUAGAUAAAUAAAAUUACUCUAGGGAUAACAGCAUAAUAUAUAAAUGUUUGUGACCUCGAUGUUGGAUUAGGAAGCUGUAGUUCAGAAGAUUAUCAGUAGUGCUCUGUUCGAGC
This 402-nucleotide ribosomal RNA is filed under the name Mussonena spinei. Its description in RNAcentral is "partial 16S ribosomal RNA". It matches the Rfam family "Bacterial large subunit ribosomal RNA", at positions 1808 to 2586 of the family's 2925-position model. The record is from RNAcentral. Lineage: Eukaryota; Metazoa; Mollusca; Gastropoda; Stylommatophora; Camaenidae.